GCAGUGGUGGUGCAGUGGUAGAAUUCUGGCCUUGCAUGCAGGGAACCUGGUUCAAUUCCCAGCCAGUGCA
RNAcentral lists this transfer RNA (70 nucleotides) under Loxodonta africana (African savanna elephant). It matches the Rfam family "tRNA". From Rfam's summary of the family: Transfer RNA (tRNA) molecules are approximately 80 nucleotides in length. Their secondary structure includes four short double-helical elements and three loops (D, anti-codon, and T loops). The record is from Rfam by way of RNAcentral. Lineage: Eukaryota; Metazoa; Chordata; Mammalia; Proboscidea; Elephantidae.